This 825-nucleotide ribosomal RNA is filed under the name uncultured bacterium. RNAcentral describes it as "bacterial SSU rRNA". It matches the Rfam family "Bacterial small subunit ribosomal RNA", at positions 22 to 875 of the family's 1533-position model. The record is from RNAcentral.
GCUCAGAAUCAACGCUGGCGGCGCGCCUAACACAUGCAAGUCGCACGAGAAAGCCGGGGCAACCUGGUGAGUACAGUGGCGUACGGGUGAGUAACACGUGGGUUACCUGCCCUCUGGUGGGGAAUAACCUUGGGAAACCGGGGCUAAUACCGCAUAACUCCGAGAGGAGAAAGCCGCAAGGGCGCCGGAGGAGGGGCCCGCGGCCGAUUAGCUAGUUGGUGGGGUGACGGCCCACCAAGGCUGUGAUCGGUAGCCGGCCUGAGAGGGCACACGGCCGCACUGGCACUGAAACGCGGGCCAGACUCCUACGGGAGGCAGCAGUGGGGAAUCUUGCACAAUGGGGGAAACCCUGAUGCAGCGACGCCGCGUGAGCGAUGAAGCCCUUCGGGGUGUAAAGCUCUUUCGGCAGGAAAGAUCAUGACGGUACCUGCAGAAGAAGCUGCGGCUAACUACGUGCCAGCAGCCGCGGUAAUACGUAGGCAGCGAGCGUUGUUCGGAGUUACUGGGCGUAAAGAGUGUGUAGGCGGUUCGCCAAGUUCGGUGUGAAAUCUCCCGGCUCAACUGGGAGGGUGCGCCGAAUACUGGCGGGCUUGAGUGCGGGAGAGGAAAGCGGAAUUCCUGGUGUAGCGGUGAAAUGCGUAGAUAUCAGGAGGAACACCUGCGGUGUAGACAGCUUUCUGGACCGCGACUGACGCUGAGACACGAAAGCGUGGGGAGCAAACAGGAUUAGAUACCCUGGUAGUCCACGCCCUAAACGAUGUCAACUAGGUGUUGGGACGGUUAAUCGUCUCAUUGCCGCAGCUAACGCAUUAAGUUGACCGCCUG